This 584-nucleotide ribosomal RNA is filed under the name Phaeosphaeriaceae sp. RNAcentral describes it as "partial large subunit ribosomal RNA". It matches the Rfam family "Eukaryotic large subunit ribosomal RNA", at positions 87 to 686 of the family's 3401-position model. Lineage: Eukaryota; Fungi; Ascomycota; Dothideomycetes; Pleosporales; Phaeosphaeriaceae. The record is from RNAcentral.
CGGCGAGUGAAGCGGCAACAGCUCAAAUUUGAAAUCUGGCUCUUUCAGGGUCCGAGUUGUAAUUUGCAGAGGGCGCUUUGGCGUUGGCAGCGGUCCAAGUUCUUUGGAACAGGACGUCACAGAGGGUGAGAAUCCCGUACGUGGUCGCUAGCCUUUGCCGUGUAAAGCCCCUUCGACGAGUCGAGUUGUUUGGGAAUGCAGCUCUAAAUGGGAGGUAAAUUUCUUCUAAAGCUAAAUACUGGCCAGAGACCGAUAGCGCACAAGUAGAGUGAUCGAAAGAUGAAAAGCACUUUGGAAAGAGAGUCAAAUAGCACGUGAAAUUGUUGAAAGGGAAGCGCUUGCAGCCAGACUUGCCUGUAGUUGCUUAUCCGGACUUUUGUCCGGUGCACUCUUCUGCGGGCAGGCCAGCAUCAGUUUAGGCGGUUGGAUAAAGGUCUCUGUCAUGUACCUCCUUUCGGGGAGGCCUUAUAGGGGAGACGUCAUGCAACCAGCCUGGACUGAGGUCCGCGCAUCUGCUAGGAUGCUGGCGUAAUGGCUGUAAGCGGCCCGUCUUGAAACACGGACCAAGGAGUCUAACAUCUAUG